GACGAACGCUGGCGGCGUGCUUAACACAUGCAAGUCGAACGGAAAGGCCCUGCUUGCAGGGUACUCGAGUGGCGAACGGGUGAGUAACACGUGGGUGAUCUGCCCUGCACUUCGGGAUAAGCCUGGGAAACUGGGUCUAAUACCGGAUAGGAGCCAUUUUUAGUGUGAUGGUUGGAAAGUUUUUUCGGUGUAGGAUGAGCUCGCGGCCUAUCAGCUUGUUGGUGGGGUAAUGGCCUACCAAGGCGGCGACGGGUAGCCGGCCUGAGAGGGUGGACGGCCACAUUGGGACUGAGAUACGGCCCAGACUCCUACGGGAGGCAGCAGGGGGGAAUAUUGCACAAUGGGCGCAAGCCUGAUGCAGCGACGCCGCGUGGGGGAUGACGGCCUUCGAGUUGUAAACUCCUUUCGCUAGGGACGAAGCUUUUUGUGACGGUACCUAGAUAAGAAGCACCGGCUAACUACGUG
This 465-nucleotide ribosomal RNA is filed under the name uncultured bacterium. Its description in RNAcentral is "partial 16S ribosomal RNA". It matches the Rfam family "Bacterial small subunit ribosomal RNA", at positions 28 to 507 of the family's 1533-position model. The record is from RNAcentral.